RNAcentral lists this ribosomal RNA (233 nucleotides) under uncultured bacterium. RNAcentral describes it as "partial 16S ribosomal RNA". It matches the Rfam family "Bacterial small subunit ribosomal RNA", at positions 118 to 351 of the family's 1533-position model. The record is from RNAcentral.
UGAGUAACCUGCCCCAGACUCUGGAAUAACCCCGGGAAACCGGAGCUAAUACCGGAUACGAGACGAAGCUGCAUGGCUAUCGUCUGGAAAGUUUUUCGGUCUGGGAUGGACUCGCGGCCUAUCAGCUUGUUGGUGAGGUAAUGACUCACCAAGGCGACGACGGGUAGCCGGCCUGAGAGGGCGACCGGCCACACUGGGACUGAGACACGGCCCAGACUCCGUACGGGAGGCAG